Sphaeramia orbicularis (orbiculate cardinalfish) is the source of this 1167-nucleotide long non-coding RNA. RefSeq lists it as uncharacterized. The record is from RefSeq and is a predicted model, not a curated record. The transcript is spliced from 2 exons. Lineage: Eukaryota; Metazoa; Chordata; Actinopteri; Kurtiformes; Apogonidae.
AUCAAUAUAUGUUUGGUUUCAAAACAAUUGACGUAGUGCCUGCUGAGAAAAAACAACUAAAUGUUCAUUGUAAAUUUUGCUUCCCCACCCUGUAUAGGGUCUUAGCUUCUCUCCCCCAUAACUUGGGGUCCUAAAGGUCCCAACAUCUCCUUGUGAACCCCAUAGUCCAAACAUCUGGAACCCAUACAUUAACUCACAUUCUUUGUAAUAUUUACCUUUUCUAUAUGACCUCUAGAGGACAUUAUUUAUUAUACCUUACACUUCAGAUCCAUCCUUACAGAUAUGAAGGGAUUGCUCAAUUUUAUUAUUUAUAUCUCAGUUCUCCUAGCAUAACACCUGAAAGUGAUAGGCGUGGGACAUUCAUUAGUGGAGUUUUUAUCUUACAGUUCAUGACUUGGGAAACCAAACUUAAGCCCAUCAGAUGAUUUAAGACCCAUAGGAGGUCAUCUGCACAUCCAUUGUCUUCCUACUUUACAGCACUACUUAUUUUGACCCCCUACCCCAAAGUUAUUUCUCUCAUCUACCGUAGGCUCCUGUCCCCUCAGGGUCAUUGGCCUGGGAUCCCCUGCUGACCUGGUCCACCAUGGGGAGUCAGUGUAAUCACAUAGAGAAGAUUAUAGGGUUUUCCAGGAUGCAUGGGAACCCUGACAUCAUUUUCAACAAGUUCAUCUAUUUUUGCAGCAUCACUGUCCAGUGAGAACCACAUAUAUCUAAUCACUUUCUCAUGACUUCAGAAAUGCAUUCCUGUCUCACUUUUAUCAACCUUAAAGAAAAUGUAUCCCUUAAGACUGAAGAUGAUCACAAAUGCUCAAAAUCGAUACACCUGGAGAUGGUACAUGACUUUCAGUAGAUAGGAAGUAUGUGAAGAACUGUAACCUGAGGUGUUAGAUAAAUGUAGCGCAAUAAAAAAUACAAGAAGUAGAAGUAUUAAGUUGUGUGAAAUGGAAAAACUAAAGCAGACUAACCCAAAUAUGCACUUAGUUACCACUGGUUACAACAUACUGGUGUAUUUGUUUACCGGAUUGUUGUAAAUAUGGUUGAAAUUACAGGCAAAUUUGGUUUAAGCUGAUUAUCAGUGCAAGUUACAGUCUGUACAUUUAUAGUAAACACUGACUACACCAUAUCACCACAUGGAAAUAAAUACAAAAAAGAAGUCUGUACAGUUGC